GUGUGACUUUCACAGUCCUGGCUUACUCGGAGAAGGACCCACAGCUUUGCCCCAGAUCCCGUAGGGUCCCGAGUACACGGAGGUCAAGUUCUAGCUUCUUACGUUCAGCAUGAAUUGCCGCACCCCUCUAAAAGCGUCCCCUGCUAGCUUUGCAUCUCUGGCGUUCUCUUGAGGAAGGACAGGCCUUGAGACGGGACACUGCCUCGGAACAGACGCGCAUUCGCUUCACCACAGUCGUGCGUCUUAGUACUUGCGAACCAGGCCGGUCUGCUUCCAGAGCCUCUUGGGGCUACCCUGACCACUGCAUGGCUUCGUGGAGCUAAGAUUAGGAACCUCACCAACAGGCAGACGUGGGGUGCCUUGGUGUGAGCACACCCGACCUGAGCCCCAGAAGACAUUCUCAGCAGGAGAUGGUGAACAGCUUAGCAAUGGAGAACGUGAGACAGUGAGUUGUCAACGGAGCUGGCUUCCUGUUCUCUUCAAAGACCUAUAUCCUUUGCCUAGUCAGCUUUGGACUUGGAGGGCCCGCAGCGUGGACUUGGAGACCACCCUUUGACAGGCCAGGCAGGUACUCUCUGCAACCAAGGGCGGCCAUGCUACCACAAGGACUCUAAUCCAGGUCUGGAUCCUCCUCCCUGCCUCAGGCCCACCGCUGCUUGUACAAGCACCCUCAGACCAGAAAAGUGUUUCAGGGCACCCAGGACUAUAAAGGACAAAGAAGGGGCAGUUGGAAGCCCUCGGGGGAGUGACCACUUCUGUGGGACCCACUGGCCUUGGUCACUAUAAUAAAUACCAGAUGGACUUUAUUUCCAUCAGCAUUCGUAACCUGGGCACUGUUCUUCGUGCCUGGUGGGACGGUUGCCGCAUCCCUGACAUUUAUCCCUAGGAUGCCAGGAGCACCCCGGCUCCACCUCCACCCCUCUCAUUACCAACAGACACUGCCAAUAUGUCCCAGAUACAAAACCACACCCAGCUGAGUACCACUGAUUUUAAAAUUACUUUAGUCUCAGCACUUGUAAAGAUGAGACAGGAGGACAGUAAGUUCAAGACUAGCCUGGGCUAUGUAGUGAAUGUAAGUCCAGCCUGGGCUAUAAGUGAUCCUGUCAAAAACAAAACGACAUGUAUGAUCAGUCCUCUGGACCUUCCCAGAGGUCCAGGAAAUGGGGCGGCA
Molecule: long non-coding RNA, 1171 nt
Organism: Meriones unguiculatus (Mongolian gerbil)
Lineage: Eukaryota; Metazoa; Chordata; Mammalia; Rodentia; Muridae
Exons: 3
Source: RefSeq, a predicted model, not a curated record